This is a long non-coding RNA of Acinonyx jubatus (cheetah), 1627 nucleotides long. RefSeq lists it as uncharacterized. NCBI's taxonomy places the organism in Eukaryota, Metazoa, Chordata, Mammalia, Carnivora, Felidae. The transcript has 4 exons. The record is from RefSeq and is a predicted model, not a curated record.
AGCCUGAAACAGGCCCAGGUGAAGGCAGAGAAGCCAGAAAAUACAAGCUGGCUGGGAGGGAUCCUUUCUGCCCCUCCAAGAUGGCCAGAGGUCCAGAACACCAAGCCUUCACUCCAAGCCAAGCUAAUGCCAGCUGAGAAGGCAGGCUGCUGAGUUAGCAGGGAAGUCCUGGGGCGGGGGCCAGGAGGACACCCAGCCCGGCCCCGGGCCUAUCCCCAGCACCUCCCCAGAAGCGUGACUCUGACCCAGAGGGCAUGCCCUCUUUUUAUGGGGUGCAGCUGGGGCGCAGUGCACAGCAAGGUGCAUACACCCGACACUUCAGCACUGAGGCUAUCGGUCCCGUGCCCUUGUAGCGGAGACCAUCAGACGGUGGGUGGGUGGGGCGGCUAGGCUGAAUACCACACCCUAUUGCUAGGAGACCGAAAUUUCUGGUUUAAAUUCUACCCGCUGGUAAGAUUUUGGGCUUUGGAUCCCAGCCCUUGGACUUGACCAGAGACAGAGUGACUGAACUUUACCAAAAUUUUAGGGGACGGGUAUUGCUGUGGGUCAUUUUGUACUGGGCUCUGUUUCCUUUUCUGCAAGGCGGGAGGUGUUAGUGUUCAGUGUGUAACUCAGUCUGAGGUCAUUUGGCCACAGGAGGCCACAUCCGACCCCAGCAGAGAGAGCGUCACAUCCGUCAGACGUGUGGUGGUCACUCAGACAGACUCAGCGGGCUCCCUGUGGGGGCGGGCACUGCGCGCUGGCCGGCCAUCUGCGAAGGAGGCUCUGUGCAACCUCGUGCUGGUGCUGGGGACCCGCUUAUGGCGAAGGAGGUGGGGGUGGUGAGCCUGUGGCCGUGGGACCCACCGGUCCCCUAACACACCACACGGCCCAGAAGCUGCUGGCCCAGCGGAGCAAUGAAGCUGCCUUUCGGCUCAGAGUUGAUAGCCUAGGGCGAAUGCUUCCAGAAAGGGAUGUGGUAAGAGUCUGAUUCAAUGCUGGGUCACGGCUCCUUGUGCCAGAAGACUAGCAGGUCAAGGAAGGGGUCUCCUCGUGGCCACCGGAGGAGGGAUCAGCCAGAAUCCUGGAGACGCUCUUCCGACGGUGACCCCUGUGGCUGGUGGGUCUGAGGGGCACCAAGGUGGACCGUGGUCGGCAUUACGGCGUGCUGCCCAGAUUCGCCCCUCAGAACGAGGGCUCUCAUUCCCUCCGUGGCUGGGAGUAUAGGCUGCCGAUGGCUCAGAGAAGUCCCUCCUGGGGAGCUGCCCUCAGCUGCGGGCCACCCCCUCCCUGGACGCAGCCCUGUGCAGACUGGCUUGUGCACGGUGCAAAGGCUCCACCCUCUGGUCUCAGUUCAGGACGUCCCUGUAGGGCCAGGUAGCCCCUCACCAGUCAGCCUCUCCUCCCCAAGCAGCAGCCUGCAUGCAAGGGCCUGUCUCUCAGGGAGCCCAACCUGUGUCUCCUAGAGCCUCGCCGAAGCCUCGCCUGUUACCCAGCACUCUGGUCUUGUCUUGUGUCCCUGCUGCAUCAAUGACGCUCCCUCGACCUGGAACCACUCCUUGCAUUUUGUCCCUUCGCCUUAAACAGAAGUCACAGAUCUGAUCGAUUGUCCUGACCCCGCCAGGCCUCCCUGUGAACACUCACCGCU